Clupea harengus (Atlantic herring) is the source of this 497-nucleotide long non-coding RNA. RefSeq lists it as uncharacterized. Lineage: Eukaryota; Metazoa; Chordata; Actinopteri; Clupeiformes; Clupeidae. The record is from RefSeq and is a predicted model, not a curated record. The transcript has 3 exons.
CUUCCUCAGCAGCACUCCCCUUCAGGAACCUGAUAUUUUUCAGUUUACACUGUGGGUCCUCCUUUAGGUCUAAAAGCAGUUUGACUCCUGAUUCCCCUGGAUCAUUUCCUCUGAGAUCCAGCUCUCUGAGAUGAUUGGGAUUUAACUUCAAGGCUGAAGCCAGACUAGCAUAGCCCUCCUCUGUGAUACUGCAGUCUGAGAGUCUACAGUGAUAAAAUAGUCAUAAUUCAGUCAAGGCAAACACAACAAGACAUUUGCAGUAUAUUUAAAGUAAGAUUAUUUUUGUAGAUUAUUGGGGGGAUCAGUAGUACGUCAGGUACAUUGGAUGACAUUUGAAAGGUUGAAAAUAAUGCACACUGAGGUGGUAUUCCCACCCAAAAUGCAGUACUAAAUGCAUGGUGCUAUGGUCAAGGUGUCACGGAACGUCAGACAACACAUAGAUUGCAGGGAGGUGGGAGUUUAUUGAAACCAGCCAGUACAGGGUUCACGGGGAAAAA